This 843-nucleotide ribosomal RNA is filed under the name uncultured bacterium. RNAcentral's name for it is "bacterial SSU rRNA". It matches the Rfam family "Bacterial small subunit ribosomal RNA", at positions 8 to 796 of the family's 1533-position model. The record is from RNAcentral.
AGAGUUUGAUCAUGGCUCAGGAUGAACGCUGGCGGCGUGCCUAAUACAUGCAAGUCGAGCGGUAAGGCUUUCACAGAUUAUUUGAACAGAUAAGUCCGGCAAUUGCCGGAUACUGUUUGAAAAAUGUUUAUUACUAGGCUAGUGAUAAACAGUCGAAUAAUGUGUGAAAGUACACGAGCGGCGGACGGCUGAGUAACGCGUAGGAACGUACCCCAAACUGAGGGAUAAGCUAUCGAAAGAUGGUCUAAUACCGCAUGUGCUCUAAGGAGUAAAGCUUCGGCGGUUUGGGAGCGGCCUGCGUAUGAUUAGCUUGUUGGUGAGGUAACGGCUCACCAAGGCGACGAUCAUUAGCUGGCCUGAGAGGAUGAUCAGCCAGACUGGGACUGAGACACGGCCCAGACUCCUACGGGAGGCAGCAGUAGGGAAUUUUCCACAAUGGACGAAAGUCUGAUGGAGCAACGCCGCGUGCAGGACGACGGCCUUCGGGUUGUAAACUGCUUUUAUGAGUGAUGAUUAUGACAGUAGCUCAAGAAUAAGGGUCGGCUAACUACGUGCCAGCAGCCGCGGUCAUACGUAGGACCCAAGCGUUAUCCGGAAUUACUGGGCGUAAAGAGUUGCGUAGGCGGCUUGUUAAGUUGGUAGUGAAAUCGUGCGGCUCAACCGCAUACACUUACCAAAACUAGCAAGCUAGAGUGUAGAAGAGGUCACUGGAAUUCCAAGUGUAGGAGUGAAAUCCGUAGAUAUUUGGAGGAACACCGAUGGCGUAGGCAGGUGACUGGUCUAUUACUGACGCUAAGGCACGAAAGCGUGGGGAGCAAACGGGAUUAGAUACCCUAGUAGUCC